AGAGGUUGCUCCACUCUACUUUAUGGAGUGUUUUUGUUGUUGAUGUUGUUUUGUUUUGUUUUUGUACUAGGGAUUGAAUCCAGAAGUGCUUAACCACUGAGACACAUCCCCAGCCCUUUUUUGGAGGAGGUUGGGGGAUCAGGGAUUGAACUCAGAGCACUCAUCCACUGAGCCACAUCCCCAGCCCUAUUUUGUAUUUUAUUUAGAGACAGGGUCUCACUGAGUUGCUUAGCGCCCCACUGGUUGCCGAAGCUAGCUUUGAACUCAUGAUCUUCCUGUCUCAGCCUCCUGAGCUGCUGGGAUUACAAGCAUGCACCACCGUGCCCAUUUCCUCAGCCCUUUUUUAUUUUUUAUUUUUAUUUUUUUUUUGUUUUGAGACUGGUUCUCACCAAGUUGCUUAGGGUCUUGCUAAGUUGGUGAGGCUGGCCUCGAACUUGCAAUUCUCCUGCUUCAAUCUCCUGAGUGGCUGGGAUUAUGGCUGGAUCACCAUGCUGAGCUCACUUUUACUUUCAAUAAAUCUAUACUCUGCCUUUUAUUUCUGCAUGUCUUGCUCAGUUCUUUGUUUGGAAGCCAAGAACCUGGACCCCAACUGGACUCUUCACUGAUAUCACAUCUACUUCUUCAGAUUCAUCACUUCGAUGGUUUCUAUGGAGCCCUGUUGCCUUUGGAGGAGGGAGCUACCUGUAGAGUCUCAGGAUAGUUCACUCUCCCAGACUUUUUGAUGCAUUUCUUAAAAAAGAAGAGAAGCAAGAAGGGGAACUGGAGAGGAAUGAGGGAAAAAAUAAAAUAAAAGCUAAAUGUGAAUAGAUCAUCCUACUACACAUUGCACUUCACACAUUAACUGCCAAGACAGAUUCCCUGUUUUUCUUGAGUAGAAAUCAGACUUCCUUCUCUAAAUUGUACUUACUCAAAAAUUUAACAAAAAACAUACAAUCAGGAAGAAAAUUGAGAGAUCAUUCUGUUAAGCUGUCUGGCUUCAAGGUGCUGAGUCUUUGCUGGACAUUUCAGUAAAAUAAUUGAAAAACUUAUGUAAAAUAGUAUUAUAGGUGAUGGGGCAGGCUCCUAGGAUGAAAUAACAGGGUGCCUGAAGUUAAAUUAUUAUUAUUUUUUAGAAUAAGCAUCAGUUUUAUUUUGGAGGAUUAGGAUCAGUGGUAGGAAAACAAUUUGUGCAUGGGCCCCUUGGUGCAUGUCACCUUGGGAAAGGAUUGGGGGUUGGAGCAGAAUUGUGAGGCAAAGGAGGACUAGCUCUUGGCUCUGACUUGGCACACCUUUUCAGGGCCUGUGACAUGUUUUCCAGGCCCUACUGCCUAGUAUUUCAAAGCACCUAGUCAUUGCUGUCUGCAUCAGUCUCUAGUAAGGAAGGACACGUCCUGACUCACAAGGUGUGAUCCAGAUCAUCACUAUCAUCAAUAGUAGGUUUGGAAGGAAAACAUCAAAUUGUGUGAAGGUGGGAGAAGUUAUCACAAAUUGUUAAUUCAUGACACUCUUAAGAAUAAUGGCAAUAUUAAAAACAAAACAAAAACGCAGGCUGGGGUUACAGCUCAGUGGCAGAGUAGUUGCCUAGCAUGCAUGAGGACCAAAAAAAAAAAAAUUAAAAAACAAACCCACUGCAUUCUAUGAGGCUGUUGUGAGAAGCAAACUAGGAAGGAAACCAAAUGCAGACCCUUUGAAUGCCACAGAAACAGGCCCCAGAUCAUGCAUCAACCCCUGUAUCAAAAUCAGAGCAUGAGACACUAGGGUGGGAGAGUGAUUGAAUUUCACAGAUUAAGAGCCUAUGAUGAGAAGCCAGGCAUGAUGAUGCAUGCUUGUAAAAUCAGCAACUCUGGAAGCAGGGUGGAUCACAAGUUGAAGGCCAGCCUCAGCAAUUUAGCAAGGCCUGAAGCAAUUUAGUCUCAAAAAAUAAAAAGGGCUGUGGAUGUAACCCAGUAGCUAAGUGCCCCCUGGGUUCAAUCCCCAGUACCAAAAAAAAAAAAAAAAAAAACAACUUAUAUGAGCAAAACCAAAAACCAAAUCUUCCUUUCCCCUGAGAUGUGCCUUGCUGCUGAGUCAUGCUGGUAAGGUAUCAUGAUUUUUUUUCUUGCAGGGUUUUCUUCUGUAAAAGUCAUUUCAGAAGUUGAUGAAAUCUACCCAAUUAUGUGCUGUACAUGUAUGAAUAUAUCAUAAUGAAUCCUGCAUAUAUAUAUAUAUAUAUAUAUAUAUAUAUAUAUAUAAUUUUAAUGCAUUAAUUAAUAAUACAAGGGAGAUUACUUUAGUAGCACAAGCAAAUCUGGGGAAAGAGGAGGGGGGAGGGAAAAGGAAGAUACUGUGGAAUAAGAUUGAUCAAAUUAUGCGCAUGUACAAAUAUGGCAUAAUGAAUUCCACUAUUAUGUAUAAUUAUAAUGCACCAAUAAAAUAAAUAAAUAAAAAGACCAAAACAAAACAAAAAACUGCUGUUACCUCUAUCAAUUCUUCAUUUUAAUAGAAAGGCGAAUAGUAGGAACAAUCAGCCUUUCAGGAUUUAUAAAGGAGAAUUCUAUUGUGAAGGAGCUGUCCCCAUUCUCCUUUAGCUGGUUAAAUGUGAUUUGAUUCAACUCAAUUCCAGAGCAGGGAUUGAGCAUCUGUGUGAUGUGUGUGGAUACUGAUGAGGCACUGCUGGGUGGAGGAGAACAAGUGGGACAUUUUCCUGACUAGAGGGAACCCAUCAUCAAGCAGGGGCCAUAGAUGUGUAGACAAAUAACUACAGUGUGGAACAGAGGGAGGAUAACUUAUGCC
Molecule: long non-coding RNA, 2751 nt
Filed under: Marmota monax (woodchuck)
Lineage: Eukaryota; Metazoa; Chordata; Mammalia; Rodentia; Sciuridae
Source: RNAcentral